Molecule: unclassified non-coding RNA, 419 nt
Filed under: Hevea brasiliensis (rubber tree)
Lineage: Eukaryota; Viridiplantae; Streptophyta; Magnoliopsida; Malpighiales; Euphorbiaceae
Source: RNAcentral
AAAAUAAGUUCUACCAUGGUGAUGGCUACAAGUUUAAACCUUUCUCAUUUGCCUCAACAACUGAGGAUGAUGAUUAGUGAACUUACUCGCCUUUCCACUUUUGGAUGAGAGGAUAGUCUGGAGAGGCAGGGAUUUUUUUUUGUCAACAAUAGAGACCUAUAAAAUGAAAAAUACAGAACUUCAUUCCAGCUGGCAGAGAAUUAGCAGCUUUUUGCUCUAACAUUAAGCUGCACAGAUUAACUUAGAACUGUGAAAUGCUGACUCAUAUUCUUUGGGUGUGGUGGUAUAUAUAAGGGCUUGCUUACAGCGGUGGCAAUCCAAUAGAUGUUGUAUUUCUUGUUUUUUGUUCUUACAGAGAGAGAGAUGGAGGGGGCUUUGCCUUUUUCUUUCUCCUUGGAGGGGGGCGAUUGGCGAGGGUU